Molecule: ribosomal RNA, 216 nt
Filed under: Glomeromycotina sp.
Lineage: Eukaryota; Fungi; Glomeromycota
Description: partial small subunit ribosomal RNA
Rfam family: Eukaryotic small subunit ribosomal RNA (bases 40-216)
Source: RNAcentral
GGCUCAGUAGGUUGGUCGUGCCACCGGUACGUACUGGUCUCACUGAUUCCUCCUUCCUGAAGAACCGUAAUGCCAUUAAUUUGGUGUUGCGGGGAAACAGGACUGUUACUUUGAAAAAAUUAGAGUGUUUAAAGCAAGCUCACGCUUGAAUACAUUAGCAUGGAAUAAUGAAAUAGGACGAUCGAUCCUAUUUUGUUGGUUUCUAGGAUUGACGUA